RNAcentral lists this ribosomal RNA (460 nucleotides) under uncultured bacterium. RNAcentral describes it as "partial 16S ribosomal RNA". It matches the Rfam family "Bacterial small subunit ribosomal RNA", at positions 338 to 795 of the family's 1533-position model. The record is from RNAcentral.
CCUACGGGAGGCAGCAGUGAGGAAUAUUGGUCAAUGGGCUUACGCCUGAACCAGCCAAGUCGCGUGAGGGAAGACUGCCCUAUGGGUUGUAAACCUCUUUUGUAAGGGAGCAACGCCGGCUACGUGUAGCCGGACUGAGAGUACCUGAAGAAAAAGCAUUGGCUAACUCCGUGCCAGCAGCCGCGGUAAUACGGAGGAUGCGAGCGUUAUCCGGAUUUAUUGGGUUUAAAGGGUGCGUAGGCGGAAUGCCAAGUCAGCGGUAAAAUCGCGGGGCUCAACCUCGCUCCGCCGUUGAAACUGGCGGUCUUGAGUGGGCGAGAAGUAUGCGGAAUGCGUGGUGUAGCGGUGAAAUGCAUAGAUAUCACGCAGAACUCCGAUUGCGAAGGCAGCAUACCGGCGCCCAACUGACGCUGAAGCACGAAAGCGUGGGUAUCGAACAGGAUUAGAUACCCCAGUAGUC